AAGGAAAGUGUUAAAAAAAUAACUCUCUGUGUCUGCCUGCUUGAAUGGGUUCACAUAUACUGUUCUUUAAGGUAGGGUAGAAAAGUUAGAGGGCAGAUGGGGGUAGCCUGGAGGAGGACAAAGCUUCACCUGUUCCAAACAGCUGGCCAUGGGAAGACUCACAGCCUAAAUCCAGCACACCUGUCUCCCCUUCCUCCCACAGCCACCAACAAGGCCUAGCAGAGCAAGGUCUUGACAGCCGAGGCGCCUGCUGCUUUUAAGUGACUAGGCUCAACUUUACAAUCUGAUGAUUAAGGUCUUUGGGGCCCUAUUUUUAGUGUAGAUGUAAAUUGCUUUAUGAGCUAAGAUGUCUGUACAUUUUAAUGACAUGCUUCUGUCCCAGUUCACUCCU
RNAcentral lists this long non-coding RNA (391 nucleotides) under Bos taurus (domestic cattle). RNAcentral's name for it is "long non-coding RNA NONBTAT006172". The record is from RNAcentral. Lineage: Eukaryota; Metazoa; Chordata; Mammalia; Artiodactyla; Bovidae.